This is a non-coding RNA of Sus scrofa (pig), 552 nucleotides long. The record is from RefSeq and is a predicted model, not a curated record. NCBI's taxonomy places the organism in Eukaryota, Metazoa, Chordata, Mammalia, Artiodactyla, Suidae.
AGGGCCAGGGCAGAAACAGGUUCUGCUUGGCUACAUGACCUCCGCCUGCUCUUACUCUGAGCCUGGGCGUUGGUAGUGGGGAGAGCGGGUCUCCUGAAAGGUCCGCGCUGCAAGAGCAGCGUCUUUUGUGCCUUAACUUGCACCCGUCUCGGGAGUCAAAGGGAGGACGCCAGGGGAUCUCAGAAGCCGGAGAACGCUGGGAUCCAUCUUUUCCUGCCCCUGGAAAUCAGAGCUCCUGGUUCUCAUGACUUCAGUCUUGGACUCAACUAUGCUACAAGCUUUUCUGGUUCUCCAGCUUGAAGAUGGCAGUUUCUGAAACUUCUCCACCUCAUGACCCUGGGAAACAAUGAGACUGUGAAAAUGAGGCAAAGCAGAAAAACGUGGUUUGCGUUCUAGACACCUAGUAAGGAAGACGAACUACACGUUCCAGAGGUCAGUUACUGGAACAAUUUCCAGAAGUCAGAUUGAGAGACAGCUUCACUAGGUCAAGAAGGCAAAGGAUUCCCUUAUAUAUGCAGUGUUUUUUUUUUAAUAUUGUAAAGUAAACAGCAA